This is a small nucleolar RNA of Benincasa hispida (wax gourd), 104 nucleotides long. The record is from RefSeq and is a predicted model, not a curated record. Lineage: Eukaryota; Viridiplantae; Streptophyta; Magnoliopsida; Cucurbitales; Cucurbitaceae.
AAUCUGUGAUGGGGAUAGUUAUUGACCAGUCCUUUGAAGCGCUCCCAUGCGGCACUCAAAGUUUCGAUUUCUUCUUGCUCAAAGUUCAUUAUUUCUCUCCGUCU